RNAcentral lists this ribosomal RNA (513 nucleotides) under uncultured bacterium. Its description in RNAcentral is "bacterial SSU rRNA". It matches the Rfam family "Bacterial small subunit ribosomal RNA", at positions 40 to 507 of the family's 1533-position model. The record is from RNAcentral.
CGGCGUGCCUAAUACAUGCAAGUCGAACGCAUUGUGGUUGAAAUGAUAUGAAGAACUUGUUCAGAUUUGAUUUUCAACAUUGCAAUGAGUGGCGAACGGGUGAGUAACACGUGGGAAACCUACCUCUUAGCAGGGGAUAACAUUUGGAAACAAAUGCUAAUACCGUAUAAUAAUUAAAACCGCAUUGGUUUAGUUUAAAAGAUGGUCUUGCUAUCACUAAGAGAUGGUCCCGCGGUGUAUUAGUUAGUUGGUGAGGUAAUGGCUCACCAAGACAAUGAUACAUAGCCGAGUUGAGAGACUGACCGGCCACAAUGGGACUGAGACACGGCCCAUACUCCUACGGGAGGCAGCAGUAGGGAAUCUUCCACAAUGGACGAAAGUCUGAUGGAGCAACGCCGCGUGUGUGAUGAAGGGUUUCGGCUCGUAAAACACUGUUGUAAGAGAAGAAUGACAUUGAGAGUAACUGUUCAAUGUGUGACGGUAUCUUACCAGAAAGGAACGGCUAAAUACGUG